GAACGCUAGCGGCAGGCUUAACACAUGCAAGUCGAGGGGCGAUCGGGUGUAGCAAUACAUGCCGGCGAACCGGCGAAAGGGUGAGUAACGCGUGAGCAACAUGCCCGAUACUGGGGGAUAGUCAUUGGAAACGAUGCGUAAUACCCCGUAACACAUGGGACCGCAUGGUCUUAUGUUGAAAGAUUGAUUGGUAUCGGAUUGGCUCGCGUGCCAUUAGGUAGACGGCGGGGUAACGGCCCACCGUGCCGACGAUGGCUAGGGGUUCUGAGAGGAAGGUCCCCCACAUUGGAACUGAGGCACGGUCCAGACUCCUACGGGAGGCAGCAGUGAGGAAUAUUGGACAAUGGCCGGAAGGCUGAUCCAGCCAUGCCGCGUGCGGGAAGACGGCCCUAUGGGUUGUAAACCGCUUUUGCGGGGGAGCAAUAAGAGCAACGUGUUGCUCGAUGAGAGUACCCUGCGAAUAAGCAUCGGCUAACUCCGUGCC
This 484-nucleotide ribosomal RNA is filed under the name uncultured bacterium. Its description in RNAcentral is "bacterial SSU rRNA". It matches the Rfam family "Bacterial small subunit ribosomal RNA", at positions 31 to 509 of the family's 1533-position model. The record is from RNAcentral.